RNAcentral lists this long non-coding RNA (302 nucleotides) under Panax ginseng (ginseng). RNAcentral describes it as "long non-coding RNA (PGIN_LNC015887)". The record is from RNAcentral. Lineage: Eukaryota; Viridiplantae; Streptophyta; Magnoliopsida; Apiales; Araliaceae.
UUCCCUUUACACAUUUUCAUAGUAACCUUGCUGGGGUUCCUGGGGGUGGGGUUCGCCCAACUGGUACCAAAUUCAUAUAUCCAUAUCUUGGCCUUCGUGGCCUUCUGUCAUGAAUUGGGCGUGGAUCCCUCCUUGGACUUCUUCUUCACCGUAUACAAGAUAGUACAAUCUAGGGAGAAGGGGUUCAAGGCCAUUAGUAAGCACUCUCCAAAGUCAGGAGAGAAGUUCGAGAGGCGUUCGCUGGUGAACACGCCUUCGAGCAAUAGGGGAUGGCACGAGAAGUGGUUCUAUGUCAAAGGUCC